This is a long non-coding RNA of Musa acuminata AAA Group (dessert banana), 2491 nucleotides long. RefSeq lists it as uncharacterized. The transcript has 3 exons. The record is from RefSeq and is a predicted model, not a curated record. NCBI's taxonomy places the organism in Eukaryota, Viridiplantae, Streptophyta, Magnoliopsida, Zingiberales, Musaceae.
AGUCGGCGAGGGUUGUGGCCUCAUUAAUGGCCUGGUGGAGCCGGUUGACUUGUUAAGUCAAAGUGCCGUCAUUUGCCCACUCAGGGGAAGUAACCGAAUGUUUGUGGGCGGCAGCGUGGGGCGCAACCUCGUGCUGUGGACGGCCCUUGGGGCAGGGGAAGCGCUGCCAUGGCCACGCGAGGAGCAACGGCAUCAAGAUGACUGUGUUCUCCAGGACUCUCAAUUGAUAUGCUUGCGGCACUGCAUCGAUAAAUAUGUAUGCCGUCUGUGGUCAGGUGGCGUUGGGCUUGAAGUUGUUCGAGGAAAUGCGGCGCUUCAUUGAUAAAAAUGUGCGCCAUGUGUGAUCGAGCGAGAGUUGGGCUUGAAGGUGUUCGAGGAAAUGAGGCACCUUAAUAUUUAUGCCGUGUGAUCAGGUGGGGUUGGCCUUGAAGGUGUUCGAGGAAAUGUGGCACCUCAAUGAUAUUUAUGUAUGUCGUGUGUGGUCAGGUGGGGUUGGACUUGAAGUCGUUCGAGGAAAUGCAGCACUUCAUUGAUACAUGUGUCUGUCGCGUGUGUGGUCAAGCGGAGUUGGGCUUCAAGUUGUUUGAAGAAAUGCAGCACUUCAUUUGUUGGAGGAAAUGCAGCUAAGACUGCCAUGACCUAGGAGGAUCGAACCAUUUGACUCAAAUUACUAACCCAAGAUAAAGGUAGUUUGUUGGCGAGCGGAAGCAGAUAUGGUGUCCUGGCAUGUCCAUGAUCUUUGUGCAAUUUCUCAGUGAUGAAGACCAGGUAACAUGCCUCUCCUUGUGCAUUAAACAAAGGGACUAGGUUUCAGUCAUAAGUGGGACUAAUGGAUGUGCACGAGUACCUUUUAAGUAGCAUGUCUCUUAUCCUGGUGGAAGAAAGUUGGAAGCAGAUGAGGGAAUUCUACAUGCAAAGUUAUGGUUUUUGAACAAAGUAAAUAUUUCUAGUUUUUCUACCAAAAAGAAAAAAGAGUAAUGAGAUCUGGUUUCAGUUCUUAGCAGUUGAUACUUUUUCUUGAAGGACAGGAUAGCAAUCUACUGAAUAUAUUGGAAAGUGGAGCGUGGUAAAAGCAAUUUUCCGAUUGCAAAAUAGAGAAACCACAUUGAACAGAAGAAGAGAGAGCUCUUUGGAUCUAUCAUGUGAACAUGACAAAGAGAGCAUGUCAAGACUGACUUCUUACUUACUCGCCAGUGGAGAUGACUGUAAUAUUUUGUUAAGAGUAAUGCUCCUGGCAGCAUUUGGUGGUGGUGGAUAUAAUGAUCAUGAUGAUCAUGAUGGUAGGAAGCAUCUUUAGAGAAAUCUAUUUCUUAAGAAUAAUGACUUCAGCUUCAGCAUCAUGGCGAAGAAGUCGCUGUACUUCAUUGGGGGGAUUGUUGCGCCAAAUUUGUGGCUUUUGAUAUCGGUAUCCCAGUUUGGCAAACUCAUGAGCAACUCUGUUCCCUUGCCUGUAUAUAUGGGAUACACUGAAGUCAUUCAGCUGGGGAAUCAACACCCUAAUCUCUCUCACAAUUCUUAGAUCUUCCUUGGACUUCAAUCUCACCUCGUUCAUGAAAACAUCUACCACCGUCUUUGCAUCGCCUUCAACCCAGAUACUGUGCCACCCGUUCUGCAAGGCCAGCUCAAGGCCUCGUUUGCAAGCAGCUAACUCUGCAACGGAGCUCGUCGCCCUCCCAAUGCAUUCAGCAUAUCCCAGCAUGAACAGCCCUUCGUGGUCCCGGCACACACCACCUAUGCUGGCGUUGCUGAAUUUGCACUUGGAAGCUCCGUCAAAGUUCAACUUGAUCCACCCGGAAUAAGGUUUUUCCCACACAAACGAAGAUGCAUUGCUGUGGUGAUUCCUUUGGGUCAAGAGCCUGAGUGAGGUCUUGACACAACUCCUGAUCAUUUCAGGGUAUGAUGUUGGGAAGAUAAUCUGAUGAAGUUUGACACAUCUCCUGAUCAUGGAGAAAGAUUAUAAUGAGCAGAAGAAGAAAGAAGAAGAAUAGAGGAAGAGGGGGAGAAAGCUAUACAUGAACUUGUGCAGCAAAACUAAUUUAAAGGUUUGAAGGGGAGGAGACUUGAGGAACUCACCAUCCAAUUCUAGCAAAUACCAAUCAAAGCACUCCUAUAAAAGAAAAGAAUAUGUCCUUAAACUGUCCAUGUCAAAAGUAGCCAUUGGUGUUGUUCCUGAAAAAACUGCCUAAAAAGCCUUAAGGUAGACAUUUUUUGCCCAAAUAUUAGCUCCUAUCUAUGAAUUUGUUAUAUUUAACACAACAACUCAAAGUUUGACUUUGUGAUCCCAUAGUACCAGAUUCUCCAUUGACUUCUUAUUUGUUUUGAUAAGUUUGUGUACACUGAUCCUCCCUAGACUCUCUCGGUUGUUUCAGUGUUUUCAAUUGGGUUGUAAGUGCUUGUUCAUUUGCUUCACUUGUAUGUUCUAUAUCGAAAAAUAUGAAAGUGUCAAUGAGAUUCCUUGUUAUGAGAUGAAACAAAGAUUUUGAUUGCCACA